Molecule: long non-coding RNA, 298 nt
Organism: Octodon degus (degu)
Lineage: Eukaryota; Metazoa; Chordata; Mammalia; Rodentia; Octodontidae
Exons: 3
Source: RefSeq, a predicted model, not a curated record
GUCGGUUUGAGCGGAGGCAGGGGGUGGUCUCCAAUCAAACAGAGAAAAGGUCCUGGAGAAGAUGGAAGCUUCAUGAUGCUGCCACGUGGUUCCGUGACCCUUCGAGUCCUGCCCGUCAAGCCCGCCUUAAUGAAAGCUUUCCCUCUCCGAGGUCCCUGGAAUUGUAAAGAUUUCUGGUGAGAUUCUACUUCCACCAGCUACGGGAUUAGGCAGUCCAGACGGAGCCCACGGGGCACCUCUUCAGGAUGAAGCGCGCCAGAGCACUAACUCCGGAACUGCAGCCGAAGCUGGGCGCGCA